Molecule: ribosomal RNA, 594 nt
Filed under: Endoconidiophora douglasii
Lineage: Eukaryota; Fungi; Ascomycota; Sordariomycetes; Microascales; Ceratocystidaceae
Description: eukaryotic LSU rRNA
Rfam family: 5.8S ribosomal RNA (bases 214-367)
Source: RNAcentral
AGAGGAAGUAAAAGUCGUAACAAGGUCUCCGUUGGUGAACCAGCGGAGGGAUCAUUACCGAGUUUUUAACUCUUAAACCAUAUGUGAACAUACCCUUUUAGCUGCUUUGGCAGGCUUGGUAAAAACAAGUCUGCCGGUAGUAUAUAAAAAAACUCUUUAAUAUUUCUACAGAAUUUAUUUCAUUGCUGAGUGGCAUAAAACAUAAUAAGUUAAAACUUUCAACAACGGAUCUCUUGGCUCUAGCAUCGAUGAAGAACGCAGCGAAAUGCGAUACGUAAUGUGAAUUGCAGAAUUCAGUGAAUCAUCGAAUCUUUGAACGCACAUUGCGCCUGGCAGUAUUCUGCCAGGCAUGCCUGUCCGAGCGUCAUUUCACCACUCAAGCUCUGCUUGGUGUUGGAGGACCCGCAUCUUGCGGGCCGCCGAAAUGCAUCGGCUGUUAUAUUUGCAGCUUCCCUGUGUAGUAAUAUUUAUUUUACGCUUUGAAACUCUUUUAUAACAUGCCGUAAAACCCAUCAAUAUAUAUAUAUGUAUUAUUUUUGAAAAGGUUGACCUCGGAUCAGGUAGGAAUACCCGCUGAACUUAAGCAUAUCAAUA